GGAUUUUUCUAUUCUUUUGUUUGUUUUAUGCAAUAAAACUCGGUUACUUAAUUUAAAAUCCAUUUUAUAGAGUUAUUAGGUAUACUGGGAAGAAAAUAGUGAUAUGAAAACCAAGAUAGUGGGACUGAAUAUGGGAACAGUUCAGACACAGAAGAAAGUGGAAUGAUGCACCCCAAGAUGCCACGCAGACGUAAUUACACAUCAGGCUUCUUGAAACAGAACAGCAAGCUCUGAAACACAGGUAGAGCUGCUGUUCAUGAAAUGGUAGUGGGAGACUGAUGUUAAAGUCAGGUAUUUCCUUACUGUUUAAGCUUGUGAGCAAGUUUCAGUUGAGUUACUUGGACUUCUUAGCUCAGACAGUCUGGAUAGCAGACCAGAUGCCACACAGAUGGUCAUUCUGGUUCAUCCUUCUUUUCAAGAUCUCUGAAUUAUGAUUGGGAAUAAUGGAUCCCUCUUAAAUGUGAAACCUUGGCCUACUUGAUUUCAGAUGUUCAGACCUUCAGACAAAACAAGUGUCAUGUAUAUCACAGCAAAUUCUGAAAACUGAUAACAGUGAGGAAA
RNAcentral lists this long non-coding RNA (561 nucleotides) under Numida meleagris (helmeted guineafowl). Its description in RNAcentral is "lncRNA (ENSNMEG00000011039.1)". The record is from RNAcentral. Lineage: Eukaryota; Metazoa; Chordata; Aves; Galliformes; Numididae.